GCCAGCUUCGAAGAAGUCUAAAGUGUUUUAGAACGAGAAAGGUACAUUAUGAAUUAGAAUGUUCAUAUUUCGAAGACUUUGAAAGUGGAAGUUGCGAUGCAGUUGCUUUCUAAGGGUCCCGGGAGGCAAUAGUCACACAUUGUUACUUCAGCCUUCACCAAGGCAAAACAGUACAGAGCCCUGUACUGUAACAGACAACAUGGAACAGUCACAAUUUCAGUUCCUGUUACGUUGACAAGACUCUUUCAGUUCUCUGUCCUGGAGGUGGCCCGCUUUGCUCCGCUUGAUCACAUGCUGACCAUCCUGAAGGCCCAGGGAACCGGCACCUGCGUUACAAAAUCAUCUUGAUGCCCUUCAGACAGCCCAAAAGGACGAAGAUGCAAGGCAUGCAUAUGUCAUUUGGUCAAAGAACGAUGAGAAAUCAAACUGUACUCUCUGCAAGUGCCAACGAAUUGUUCUGCUACUGGCGGUCCUUGUCAGAUGCUGGGACUCCUGCUUUUGUUACUGAAUGUGGAAAAUAAAACUGUUAAGACUAAUUGAAGAUAAUGGGAUAAAAAUCUAUAGCUGAAAUCAACCUCCUCUACAUCAAUUAGAUGAAAGUAAUUCACUGAAAGUUAUUUGCUGGACAUGCAAUAGUCAUGCAGUGCCUGCUUGUGUAGCUUAAAAACACGCUACAAACAUUUUUAAACAUGAAGGUACAAAGUGAUUAAUAUAGAUAGAGACACUCUUCUAGGGCUGUGUGUGUGCGUGUGUCUCAACACACAACUUUGGCCUACGUGUGCACCUUAUUGUAAGACCUUGCAACGUCAAGAUAUUUCACAGGGUGAAAUCCCGCUUCCUGUGUGGCAGCUCCACACGGGACCAGAAAUCAUGCAGUCAGACUGACUGACUUUGGCUGACUGAGUUUUAAAGAGGAUCAAAAACCUUUUAGUAUAAAAAGAAAAAAAGGCUCUACCAUAUUGCAGUGGUCCUUUUAAGACCUCCCACAUGGCUGCUCUGAGUGACAGGUCUGACAUCCCUCAAAAUUCCCACAGCAUUCCAGCUAAUUACUUAGAAACAGAUAAACCCACCAAAAGCCAACCAGAUCGUGAAUGUCUGAGAAUAAGCAGAUGCGGCCCUUUUCACAAGAAGGGCAAGGUCCGCAGCUCCACGGCAUCAUGGCAUUAUUUAUUCAUCAUGAGAACAGCGAGGGAACACGGACCCUGCAGAAAAAUCAAAUCAGUGUUCGUUGGUCGAGCAGCUGCAUUUGGCAGAGAAGAAGCAUUUGGAUCUAACUUUGGUAACAACAAUUAUAGGCGUUAUUAGAUUGGAGAUGCAAAUGAGUACCCAGAUUUUCGUCUAAGUUUUCUGUCUUUCACUUAUAGUGCUUAAAUUAAAACCAGCUCAAGAUUUGUAAAAGCUGAGUCCUGAAGGCUUAGAAAAGUUCUGUGCUUGUCGGUAUAUCAGUAGUUUCACUAAAAAUAUUUAUGUAUCAGUUAACCUCAAAGGAUCAAAUCUGCAUUUCUUCAUGUCUAUAGGUUAAAUAGAUGUAGUGCCAAAGUCGUCCUGUCCUUGGUGCCUAACAAUGAAGACUUGCUCACAAGCGGAGACUGUAAAACAUACAAGCUUUUAUGUGUUAAUAAAGUAAAUGUCUGUAUUGUUAGGAAUAUCUAUAGAUAAUUAAAAGGCUCUGUAAUUUACGUAUGUAUUAUCUGAUUUGUGAAAUAGAUCAAGAUUACAUCACAUUCUGAGAAAUUUUCACGAAUUACCUAGUUUUUAAACCCAGUUUCCUCCAUUUAUAAACGCUGGGACCUUGGGCAGACUUUACCCCAGUCUCCUCAUUAUGAAAUGGGGACAAGACUAGUAUCUACCUUUUAAGUUGUCAAGAGGACUAAAUGAAUUUAUAUAUAUAAAGUGCUUACAAUAAUGCCAGACACUUAGUAAUUGCUGGUGUGUGUGUGUAAAUCUAAUAUAGUUCCAUCAAAAGAUAAAUUUGGCAUAUAAUCAUGACCUCUCUUUUUCUCUUUCAUUUUCUAGCUGUCUGUCUUUCUCUCUGUAGUUCAGUUCAGUAAAAUUAGUUUUAAGAAAUGUUCAUAUUGUAGUUCACUAUGUUGAUCAACUUGUGUUUAUGCAACAUGCUACUGUGCAGUUUGAUGUACAUAUUGUGGCUUUAAACUAUAAAACAGUGUCUGUCCUGAUCUGGUGAGUCCAAAAAUCAAAGCUAGAGAACUUUUUCUCAGUAUUUUAUCCACGCGUUCUCACCAUUUGAAGCCCACUACAAUGUAUGAAAAAAUAAAAAAUAAAUUGUUGAAUGAUAGUGAAAUUAUAGCAAAAUAAGACUACCCAACUGGACAACGAGAGAGCACCCCAGGCUCUCUGUCUUCCCAUGGACAUCCAUCGACAUGCUGACUUCCAAGUUCCAGGAAUAAACCCUCAGUAAAUUCCUUGCACUGAUUGGUUCCUUUACUUCAGGCUGUGAUCUGGUGCAUAAAUCUCUCCUGUAGAUUUAAGUGUUUUCAAGACUUCGCUUUUCCCAUGGUUUAUUUCUUAUUCAUGACAACUAAUCACUCUAUUUUUUUUUCUAUUUGCUGCCUUUUUGGUCUCAUCUCUGAAUUUGCCAUAACUAUAUUUUACUUUCACUUUGAGAUUAAGCUUGAAGCUAUCAGCGUGUAAAAUUUCCAUUAAUUAUCCAAAAUAUUGGGUAUACUAGAGCUGACUAUAAGACGUGUUUAAAUCACGGAAUGCAUAGCAUUUACUUAUGUACAAAUGGAAGUGUUUUAGAAUUGUACACAAUUAAGAUAUGAGAGCAUCUUCAGUCCCUUUGUGGACAAGUGAAAAAGGCUACAUCUUAAAUGUGUGCUCCAGUGUUGGUGAACGUUUGUGAUGUUCCGGUUACAAACAAGUCUUAAAAUUGCUGUCUGUCGUAUGAAUACUGUAUGAUUCUUGAAUUUCUCAGUGAUUUCCCUUAGUGAUAGGACAUACUUUUCUGUUUUCAUAUGUACCCCAUGAAAUUUGACUUCAUUUUAUUUCUUAGCUUUAAUUGAAUUUUAGAAAUUAAUUUAUAAUGAAAGCUAUUUCAUGCUUAUCAAACCCCCUUAUGUUUUUAUAUGUUCCAGAGAAAACCUGAGUCAUUAUUUUAAAAAUCCACACGUGAUCCAGAAUCAAGGCCUAUUACCUCAGUAAAUGCACUUUAUUUAAGAGACGUAUGUCAGAAGAUGGUUCAGACUUUUAAAAAACUAGCUAUAGAGGAUGAAAUGAUUUUUUAAUUGUCCAGUGAUUUGAAAAAAGUUCAGCAAUGCGCAUUCCACAUCUGCUUCAACUGCAGACAUAUAAAACCGGUGUGACAAAAAAGGAUCAUUAAACAAUCUGAUUUUCUUGUUGGGAGGGUUUAAUGCUGUUGGGUAUAGUAUUAAAAUGUAGAAUUUGAUAGCAUGUCUUAAAGUUUUAAUGAUGUGUCCAUGAAUAUAAAACAUGCUUCUCCCAGUAACUUUAUGACUUCUCCUCUGCAUAAUUAGUGGUAUCUGUUUUAUGAGCUUACUGUUGUUUCCUUGAUCCCAUGAAAAUGUGAAACCACUGUAAUGAUUUACACCAUUCCAGAGCUUUAAAGAUACGAGCUGUUUCUUAAACUAAAUAACAAAAAAAAUCUAAAAGUAUAAUACUAGAAUUAAAGUCAUAGUGGGAUCUUUGAAUGUUAAAAAACAAACACACACAGGAUUUGGAAAUAAAUACAUUUUUGAGGUUUUCUUUAAUAACAUUUGCUUUUUUUCUGAACGCUGAUACAGAAUAUAUCCAUCUUUUAUUGUAUACGUAAAGUUCUCCUCUUAUUAGACACAUAUUUUUCUUCCUCACUUAUGGGUGAAAUAUUCGGGGAAGAUCUCAUUUAAAAAUGUUUUAAAAAUAAUUAUUUAGAUCAUUUGCAAUCUUGAGAGUUAUUAAUUGAAGUAAUGAAG
This is a long non-coding RNA of Equus caballus (horse), 3929 nucleotides long. The record is from Ensembl. Lineage: Eukaryota; Metazoa; Chordata; Mammalia; Perissodactyla; Equidae.